This 446-nucleotide ribosomal RNA is filed under the name uncultured bacterium. RNAcentral describes it as "partial 16S ribosomal RNA". It matches the Rfam family "Bacterial small subunit ribosomal RNA", at positions 338 to 795 of the family's 1533-position model. The record is from RNAcentral.
CCUACGGGUGGCAGCAGUCGAGAAUCAUUCACAAUGGUGGAAACCCUGAUGGUGCGACGCCGCGUGGGGGAAUGAAGGUCUUCGGAUUGUAAACCCCUGUCAUGUGGGAGCAAAUUAAAAAGAUAGUCCCCCAAGAGGAAUAGCCGGCUAACUCUGAGCCAGCAGCCGCGGUACUACAGAGGUCUCAAGCGUUGUUCGGAAUCCCUUGGCGUAAGGUGUGCGUAGGCGGUUUCGUAAGUCGUGUGUGAAAGGCGCGGGCUAAACCCGCGGACGGCAGAUGAUACUGCGAGACUAGAGUAGGCGAGAGGGAAGCGGAAUGCGCGGUGUAGCAGUGAAAUGCGUAGAUAUCGAGAGGAACACUCGUGGCGAAGGCGGGUUCCUGGACAUUAACUGACGCUGAGGCACGAAGGCCAGGGUAGCGAAAGGGAUUAGAUACCCGGGUAGUC